GACUGGUUAACCACUAAUCAUUUAUAAAUGUAAUUUUUAAAAGAGUAUAUGAUAUGCACUAAUUAUAUAUAUAUAUUCACUAUAUAAAUAUGACAGAUUUAUUCAUGAAUAUGAAACUAAGUUGUAUGAGUUAUACACUCACUUAUAUAAUUUUUAUAGUUAAUAGAUCUUCCCCUUACUAAGUGAAAGGAGUAUUUGUUUCUCCAGGGGGUGGGAACUCUUUGUACCAUACUGGUACUUUAAUAGAUGGUCUAAUUGAUAUCAACCCAAUUAAUUUACCAGGUCUACCACGUGUUCUAAAUUGGUUAGACAUUAUACCCAUUUGAAUUGCCUUCACUCCUGAGUCUCUGAGUGUCAGGUUCAAGCUGCUGACCGACGAGGUUCCUUAUGCUUGCGAACCAGUUAGAUUCUAUACACAUAUGAAUCUUCCCCAUAUUCGAAUAUCUGAAUGUCAGACUCAAGCUGAUGAUAUAUGAGGUAUGUGCCAUUCCAUUGGAUUAAUCCCAAUCUCUGCCUAAUUGAACAAAAAGUGUCCUUUAAUUAAUAAAGGUUAUUAAACGUUUUUUAAUUAGGUAUGGUCCUCGCUGUAUCAAUCAAGUCCCAUUGAAAUAUUGAAACGUUGUUCAUACAUCUUUGAAUGACCUUUUAUGUGCUGACAAUAUGUUCUGAAAUGAAGAGAUUUUACCCCUGAUGAAGUCUUGGAACAAGACGAAACGCGUUGGGUUAUUUAUCUAUCUAUUAUCUGAUGUUACCUCCGAAU
This is a long non-coding RNA of Pseudophryne corroboree (corroboree frog), 760 nucleotides long. RefSeq lists it as uncharacterized. Lineage: Eukaryota; Metazoa; Chordata; Amphibia; Anura; Myobatrachidae. The record is from RefSeq and is a predicted model, not a curated record. The transcript is spliced from 3 exons.